This 163-nucleotide ribosomal RNA is filed under the name uncultured bacterium. RNAcentral describes it as "partial 16S ribosomal RNA". It matches the Rfam family "Bacterial small subunit ribosomal RNA", at positions 355 to 509 of the family's 1533-position model. The record is from RNAcentral.
UAGGGAAUCUUCGGCAAUGGACGAAAGUCUGACCGAGCAACGCCGCGUGAGUGAAGAAGGUUUUCGGAUCGUAAAAACUCUGUUGUUAGAGAAGAACAAGGACGUUAGUAACUGAACGUCCUCUGACGGUAUCUAACCAGAAAGCCACGGCUAACUACGUGCC